CUUUAAUUUCAAAUUCUUUUGCUUAGAAUGCCUUUAAAUAAUUCAACCCACUUAAGUCAUCUCCAGUGAGUUUUAUGUCAUCUACAUAGAUCAUUAACACUACAACCUUUCCAUCCAUUGAGCGUUUGAAAAAAAAGUAUGAUCUGUUUGAGCUUGUGAAAAACCAAUCUUUUGUACCGCUUUAGUAAAUCGAUCAAACUAAGCUCUUGGCGAUUGUUUUAGCCCAUAGAAUGUUUUUCUCAAUCUGCAAACAUUUCCCUUACCAAUUUCAGCUUCAAAGCAGGUGGUGACUCCAUGUACACUUCCUCAUCCAAAUCUUCGUUCAAGAAUGCAUUCUUGACAUCUAGUUGAUAUAGAGACCAAUUGAGGUUGGCAGCUAUUGAAAUCAAAGCUCUAAUAGUAUUUAACUUAGCUACAGGUACGAAGGUCUCAUUAUAAUCAAUGCCAAAAAUUUGAGUAAAGUCUUUAGCAACUAACCUCGCUUUAUACCUUUCUACACUCCCAUCCGUUUUGUAUUUAAUGUUAAACACCCAUUUAUAUCAUACAGGAGAUUUUAUUCUUGGAAGCUGAGCAAUUUCCCAUGUAUUAUUUUUCUUUAAUGCAUUGAGUUCAUCGAAUACUGCUCUCCUCCAUUCUUAUAUACUGAGUGCUUCUUCUAUACCCUUUCGAUGGAUACUUUCAUGCAAUACUUUCUAUAAGUAUGAGAGAGCUUUCCAAAUGACAUGUACUUCUGUAGAGGAUGCUGAGUGCAUGACCGAGUACCCUUCCUAAUAGCAAUAAGUUGAUUUGUCUUACUAUCUUUCCUUUCUUUAAUCACCUUGAACAAGUCAGCAAGUCAUUUGGUUCUUUAUCUUCUGCAUAAUUCUGUGGCUGGUCAUUCUUUUUAUCAUUUCCAUUAAGGUGGUCAUGAGUGGUAUUGCCAAUAGGGAAAUCAAGUUGGCUAGGUUUAGUAGGAAAAAUAUGAGAGUCUGGAGGAGUAACAAGUUCAACAGGAAGCAUCGGUUCAAUAGGUUCAGUUGUAGGAGUAGGAGCAUUUUCAAUAUGUGUAGAAAAAUCCCACACUUCAAUUUCACUAGAUUUCUCCCCCUGAAUUGAACUUGGGUAGAAAGGAGUAUUUUCAAAAAAAGUGACAUCCUUAGUGACGAAAAAUCUUCUAGUCUUCGGACAAAAGCACUUAAAUCCCUUUUGACAAGGUGGGUAUCCCAGAAAAAUACACUUUAUGGCUCUAGAAUCCAGCUUUGUUUCAGGUAAAGAAUGCACAAAUACUAUACACCCAAAAACCUUAACAGGAAGAGUUUGAAAUAAUCUAUUUUGUGGGUAGUAUUAAAGAAGUGCUUGGAGUGGUGUUUUAAAUUGUAGGACAC
RNAcentral lists this long non-coding RNA (1364 nucleotides) under Olea europaea subsp. europaea. Lineage: Eukaryota; Viridiplantae; Streptophyta; Magnoliopsida; Lamiales; Oleaceae. The record is from RNAcentral.